Molecule: ribosomal RNA, 253 nt
Filed under: uncultured bacterium
Lineage: Bacteria
Description: partial 16S ribosomal RNA
Rfam family: Bacterial small subunit ribosomal RNA
Source: RNAcentral
UACGUAGGGAGCAAGCGUUGUCCGGAAUCAUUGGGCGUAAAGCGCGCGUAGGCGGCCCUGUAAGUCCGUUGUGAAAGUCAAAGGCUCAACCUUUGAAAGCCGAUGGAUACUGCAGGGCUAGAGUCCGGAAGAGGCGAGUGGAAUUCCUGGUGUAGCGGUGAAAUGCGCAGAUAUCAGGAGGAACACCCGUGGCGAAGGCGGCUCUCUGGGACGGUACUGACGCUGAGACGCGAAAGCGUGGGGAGCGAACAGG